GGCCUACCAUGGNNGUAACGGGUAACGGGGUGUUAGGGCACGACACCGGAGAGGGAGCCUGAGAAACGGCUACCACAUCCAAGGAUGGCAGCAGGCGCGCAAAUUACCCAAUCCCGACACGGGGAGGUAGUGACAAUAAAUAACAAUACGGGGUUCUUUCGGAUCUCGUAAUUGGAAUGAGUACAAUUUAAAUCUCUUAACGAGGAACAAUUGGGGGGCAAGUCUGGUGCCAGCAGCCGCGGUAAUUCCAGCUCCAAUAGCGUAUAUUAAAGUUGUUGCAGUUAAAAAGCUCGUAGUUGAAUUUCGGGGUUAGUAGGCUGGUCAUGCCUCUGGUAUGUACUGGUCUCACUGAUUCCUCCUUCCUGAUGAACCGUAAUGCCAUUAAUUUGGUGUUGCGGGGAAUUUGGACUGUUACUUUGAAAAAAUUAGAGUGUUUAAAGCAAGCUAACGCUUGAAUACAUUAGCAUGGAAUAAUGAAAUAGGACGUUCGAUCCUAUUUUGUUGGUUUCUAGGAUUGACGUAAUGAUUAAUAGGGAUAGUUGGGGGCAUUAGUAUUCAAUUGUCAGAGGUGGAAUUCUUGGAUUUAUUGAAGACUAACUACUGCGAAAGCAUUUGCCAAGGAUGUUUUCAUUAAUCAAGAACGAAAGUUAGGGGAUCGAAGACGAUCAGAUACCGUCGUAGUCUUAACCAUAAACUAUGCCGACUAGGGAUCGGAUGAUGUUAAUUUUUUAAUGACUCAUUCGGCGCCUUACGGGAAACCAAAGUGUUUGGGUUC
This 775-nucleotide ribosomal RNA is filed under the name uncultured Rhizophagus. RNAcentral describes it as "SSU rRNA". It matches the Rfam family "Eukaryotic small subunit ribosomal RNA", at positions 338 to 1114 of the family's 1831-position model. Lineage: Eukaryota; Fungi; Glomeromycota; Glomeromycetes; Glomerales; Glomeraceae. The record is from RNAcentral.